This 651-nucleotide ribosomal RNA is filed under the name Tolypocladium tropicale. RNAcentral's name for it is "partial large subunit ribosomal RNA". It matches the Rfam family "Eukaryotic large subunit ribosomal RNA", at positions 80 to 762 of the family's 3401-position model. Lineage: Eukaryota; Fungi; Ascomycota; Sordariomycetes; Hypocreales; Ophiocordycipitaceae. The record is from RNAcentral.
CCAGUAACGGCGAGUGAAGCGGCAACAGCUCAAAUUUGAAAUCUGGCCCCCAGGGCCCGAGUUGUAAUUUGCAGAGGAUGCUUUUGGCGCGGUGCCUUCCGAGUUCCCUGGAACGGGACGCCAUAGAGGGUGAGAGCCCCGUCUGGUCGGACACCAAGCCAGUGUAAAGCUCCUUCGACGAGUCGAGUAGUUUGGGAAUGCUGCUCUAAAUGGGAGGUAUAUGUCUUCUAAAGCUAAAUACCGGCCAGAGACCGAUAGCGCACAAGUAGAGUGAUCGAAAGAUGAAAAGCACUUUGAAAAGAGGGUUAAACAGUACGUGAAAUUGUUGAAAGGGAAGCGUUUAUGACCAGACUUGGGCCCGGUGAAUCAUCCAGCGUUCUCGCUGGUGCACUUUGCCGGGCUCAGGCCAGCAUCAGUUCGUCGCGGGGGAUAAAAGCUUCGGGAACGUGGCUCCCUCGGGAGUGUUAUAGCCCGUUGCAUAAUACCCUGCGGUGGACUGAGGUUCGCGCUCCGCAAGGAUGCUGGCGUAAUGGUCAUCAGCGACCCGUCUUGAAACACGGACCAAGGAGUCGUCUUCGUAUGCGAGUGUUCGGGUGUAAAACCCCUACGCGUAAUGAAAGUGAACGCAGGUGAGAGCUUCGGCGCAUCAUC